UAGGGAAUCUUCCGCAAUGGACGAAAGUCUGACGGAGCAACGCCGCGUGAGUGAUGAAGGUUUUCGGAUCGUAAAACUCUGUUGUUAGGGAAGAACAAGUACAAGAGUAACUACUUGUACCUUGACGGUACCUAACCAGAAAGCCACGGCUAACUACGUGCCAGCAGCCGCGGUAAUACGUAGGUGGCAAGCGUUGUCCGGAAUUAUUGGGCGUAAAGCGCGCGCAGGCGGUCCUUUAAGUCUGAUGUGAAAGCCCACGGCUCAACCGUGGAGGGUCAUUGGAAACUGGGGGACUUGAGUGCAGAAGAGAAGAGUGGAAUUCCACGUGUAGCGGUGAAAUGCGUAGAGAUGUGGAGGAACACCAGUGGCGAAGGCGACUCUUUGGUCUGUAACUGACGCUGAGGCGCGAAAGCGUGGGGAGCAAACA
RNAcentral lists this ribosomal RNA (427 nucleotides) under uncultured Bacillus sp. Its description in RNAcentral is "bacterial SSU rRNA". It matches the Rfam family "Bacterial small subunit ribosomal RNA", at positions 355 to 774 of the family's 1533-position model. Lineage: Bacteria; Bacillati; Bacillota; Bacilli; Caryophanales; Bacillaceae. The record is from RNAcentral.